This 378-nucleotide unclassified non-coding RNA is filed under the name plant metagenome. Its description in RNAcentral is "partial contains 5.8S ribosomal RNA, internal transcribed spacer 2, and large subunit ribosomal RNA". The stretch from base 1 to 105 matches the Rfam family "5.8S ribosomal RNA", at positions 50 to 154 of the family's 154-position model. The record is from RNAcentral.
GAAAUGCGAUAAGUAAUGUGAAUUGCAGAAUUCAGUGAAUCAUCGAAUCUUUGAACACACCUUGCGCUCCUUGGUAUUCCUUGGAGCAUGCCUGUUUGAGUAUCAUGAAAUCUUCAAAGUAAAUCUUUUGUUAACUCAAUUGGUUUCUACUUUGGUAUUGGAGGUCUUUGCAGCUUCACACCUGCUCCUCUUUGUUCAUUAGCUGGAUCUCAGUGUUAUGCUUGGUUCCACUCGGCGUGAUAAGUUAUCUAUCGCUGAGGACACUGUAAAAGGUGGCCAAGGUAAAUGCAGAUGAACCGCUUCUAAUAGUCCAUUGACUUGGACAAUACUUUUAUCAUCUGAUCUCAAAUCAGGUAGGACUACCCGCUGAACUUAAGC